Molecule: long non-coding RNA, 2206 nt
Organism: Apis mellifera (honey bee)
Lineage: Eukaryota; Metazoa; Arthropoda; Insecta; Hymenoptera; Apidae
Exons: 3
Source: RefSeq, a predicted model, not a curated record
CGUCGAUGGGGCACGCGGUGUGAUAGUUUUACUAGUAUACUAGUUCUAUUUAUUGGGUGGCUUCUUUUACGAUCUUCUACGUGAUUCUCUCUCGUGAGAAGCAAAACGUGAUAAUUUCCGUAAAAAGACGCGUUAAUUACGAUCGAUGUUCUUCAAAAUCGUUAUAUAAUUAUAUUAGGUUACCACGCUUUACAUUAUGCAUAUAGACCGAUGCUAAUUACGUACGAAUUUUGUCUUGACGAUCAUUCUAAUUAAAACCACAUAUCUCUGAUUAGAUCGUGUUAGUUUAGAAGCUCUAACACGCAGAUAUUAAUCACAUCGCAAACAAAAGCUGAUCGACACACAUAUACACGUUAUUGACAACCAAUACAGUAGUUAGUGUAACAUCGUGAUGAGGCAUUUUCGACAUUAAUCGGGGAUGUUGCACGGAGAAUUCGACGAGCCCACUUCAUCUUGUUUCUCGAUGUUGCGUCACAUGUAUCGAAUCGAACGCAUCGUGAUUUUGCGCGAUACAGCCAAGAUAUCGCGUGCAUCAUAGAAGCAUAUGACAUUCCGGGUGGUAAGAGUUGGCCACGUGAGUGUUAUCUUCGCUAACGUGUUUCCGAUGUUUAUUUUAAUUUAGUCCUAAAGGUCGGUUGGUGUGACGGAUAAAUUCACUCGUACCGACAAAACGAAGACAGAAGAGUGCGUGAAAACUUCAGGGUGAUCUAUUUCAGUGGCACGACGGCCAUGUUGCUACAAGGCUAUCGAAAUAGCAACCGACUGCCUGUGUGUGUACGUGUGCGUGUAUGUAUGAGUGCAACUUUCGUCGAGCUCGCGCGAUUAAAGAUGAAGAUGGCGACACGUGUCUAGUGGUUUUCGGAUGAAACGCGAGAAAAAGAUGUCUCCCGUUGUGACAUCGCUUCUUUUCCAUCCACGUUACACGAAGUUCGACCUUGAUUCAGGAAUUCGUAGGAUGGAAAUACGAUUUAGUGUCAAGACUGUAGGCGAACGUAUAUCACGGGAAUUUUUGCGGCCAUGUUGCCGUUUUGUUGAUUCGUUUCGAUGUCGUGAAAACCAUGCGGGAGAUACUUCGUUCGAGAAUGAUUCUUUACAUCGUUUCCUACGUGUAUUUACGUAUUUUCUGGUAUCAUCAUGAAUACCAUGGAAGAUAAUUGCUACGUGAUUUUCUCUCUCUCUCUUUUUUUUUAAAGUUUCAGUCGAUGUUUCAACGAUAUGAAGAUAGGUAUGGUCGGCGAAGGAACGCUUGGAGGAAUGAGAAGGGAGGGGAGCGAGAGAACGAUAAAGUUUCGAGGAUAACGUCAAGUUGCAAGAAUGUUGACAUGUAUCCAGCGUGCGGAAGAUAACUACUUUGGUCACUAUCAUCGUGUUAUUUGACCUCUGAUUAAACUAACUGCAAUGCUAGCAGAAUGUGUGUGUUUACUUACGACACGAAAAGUCCUGAUUUUAAAAAUUCUGCAUCGUCGUUAAGUCUCGCUCCGUUUCUAUCUAAUUUUCACGACUGCACGAGAAGACUGCAGAGUCGAGACCGAGUUUGGUCGAAGAGAGAUCGACGUGUGUGCAACAUGAUAAAAACAUAUCAAUACAAACAGAGAUCGUAAAUGGAACGAAGGGCUCUCGUAUAUUAAGGAACAUUGUGACAGCAAUGAAAAGAUAUUGCACUCGCGCGUGAAACCGGUGCAUCAUUCGCGGAAUGAAUGAAACUGCACGUGUAUAUUGCACGUGGGAGAUACGCUACAGUUUUUUUAAACCGUGAAAGGUGAUUUCGUUGAAUGGACGCGCCGUUGAAAGCAAUUUUCGUUAGUAAACACAGGGCACGACGAUGCACAUGUCGAGUGUUAUACACAAUAAUAUAUAUAUAUAUUAAGUAACGACAACAACGAACGAGAUAAUGAAAAAUUGAUUCAAACAACGAGACAUAUCAGAUCUGGGAAGUUAGAUGAGUAAAAUAUAAAUAUAAAAGAAGAGAAACCCAGAGACAGAGACGAAAGAGAGGCGGAUCUAAGGACACGAUAAGAUACAGAUGCAGAGAGAAGAAUUCACAUGAACAGACAUCAGGAAAACUCAAAAUUACCUUUGUCGUAGAGAGUAAAAGUAGUGAUGGUGUAGUGGUGGUGGUGGUGGUGGUGGUAGGAUGGUUUUUUUUUUGGCAGGGGGUUGUUUAGUGCUCACCUCUGGGGCUGGUCGACCUUGCUCCGCCCCUGUC